ACCCGCUGAACUUAAGCAUAUCAAUAAGCGGAGGAAAAGAAACUAACAAGGAUUCCCCUAGUAACGGCGAGUGAAGCGGGAAGAGCUCAAAUUUAAAAUCUGGUUUGCUUGCAAAUCCGAGUUGUAGUCUGAAGAAACGUUUUCCAUGAAAAUCGAGGCACAAGUCCUUUGGAACAGGGCAUCAUAGAGGGUGAGAAUCCCGUCCAUGGUCUCGAAUCUUUCAUUUUGUGAUACGUUUUCUAAGAGUCAGGUUGUUUGGGAAUGCAGCCUAAAAUGGGUGGUAAAUUUCAUCUAAAGCUAAAUAUUGGCGAGAGACCGAUAGCGAACAAGUACCGUGAGGGAAAGAUGAAAAGAACUUUGAAAAGAGAGUUAAAAAGUACGUGAAAUUGUUGAAAGGGAACCGUUUGAAGCCAGUCUUGCUUGCCUGUGAUCAAUCUUAGCUUUGGCUUGGAUGCACUCUCAGGCUAUGCAGGUCAACGUCAGUUUGAGAGGUGUGAAAAAAGUUUGAGGAAUGUGGCCUUCGGGUGUUAUAGCCUCUUACUAAAUAGCAUCUUUUGGACUGAGGCUCGCAGCAAAAAUGUGGGUUGGUUUGCUCCUGAGUUGAAGCUCUAUCAAGACAGCUUGCUGACUUGGUUUAGUGGAGGCUCACGGUAGACCGGCUUCUAAUUUGCUUAGGUCGUUGACAUAAUGGCUUUAAAUGACCCGUCUUGAAACACGG
Molecule: ribosomal RNA, 718 nt
Filed under: uncultured fungus
Lineage: Eukaryota; Fungi
Description: LSU rRNA
Rfam family: Eukaryotic large subunit ribosomal RNA
Source: RNAcentral